CUUCUGGGUUGGAGCAUAGCAUUGAUUAGAGUUAUGUGAAAACUUGCUCCUAAACAGAGCAGUCAAAUGGCUGCUGUGGGUUCAGAUUUUCAUCUCCAAGUUUCUUCCCACCUGUUAUUGCUUUAUGGAUAAAUGUCACCAAGGUAGCUCUAUAGCUACCUCUUUGAUUUAAAGUACUGAAUUCCUCCUAAAAUGCUGCAGCAGUAAGAUUAUAGGACUGAGAGACUGGGCUAUGAGGACAACCUUCCCCUUUGAGAACUAGAAACAGAUUGCUAUGAUAGAAGAAAUAUAUAUGACAUCAGUUAAGAAUGAACUGACUGAUAGCAAGAGAGAAGGACAAUUUCAUUAGAUCCAUUAAGAAGUCUUACAAGUCUACAUCCAAUGAGAAGAAGAGAGACCAAAGCAGACCC
This 410-nucleotide long non-coding RNA is filed under the name Homo sapiens (human). Its description in RNAcentral is "HSALNT0140675". The record is from RNAcentral. Lineage: Eukaryota; Metazoa; Chordata; Mammalia; Primates; Hominidae.